This is a long non-coding RNA of Chinchilla lanigera (long-tailed chinchilla), 2853 nucleotides long. NCBI's taxonomy places the organism in Eukaryota, Metazoa, Chordata, Mammalia, Rodentia, Chinchillidae. The record is from Ensembl.
AUGAUCAAAUUCUUCAGGAGGUGUUGGUACUUAAUUCUUUUUAUCCUCUUCCUGUCCCCGCCUCCAUCUCUUGGUCCUCUUCCCAUUUGCAAAGGCUCUACUUCCCCAUUUCCUAUGAUCUAUCUUUAUUUUGCUCUUUAUAUAUUUUGGGUUCCUCAUAUAACAGAAAGCAUGUGGUAUUUAAGCCUGUGUCUGUUUAGUUCUCUUAACAUUACAGUCUUAAGGUGCAUCCAUUUUCCUCCAAACGUUUCACGUUUAUCUUCUAUGGCUGACUAGUAAUCCACUGUAUAUAAAUAUUUUCUUUAUCCAUUCACCUGUUAAUGGACAUGAAGGCCAUUUCCAGUAUUUAGCUAUCAUGAAUUGUUGUGCUACAAGCAUGGGUAUGCACCUAUCACUAUAAUAUUACAUCUUUAACUCUUUGGGGCAGAUACCUAGAGAAAGAGAACAGCUGGGUCAAAUGGAAUUUCUAGUUUUAGGUUUCUGAGAAAUGUCCCCACUGAUUCCACAAUGGUUGUACUAAUUUAUACUCCCAUCAACAACGUAGGGUUCCUUUUGCCCCUGCAGCCUCACUGGCAUUUACUAUUAUUUGAUUUCUUGAUCAUAGUCAUCUUUCUGGAGUAAGGUGGAAUCUCAGUGUUGUUUUAAUUUGCAUUUCUGUCAUGCCCAGCAAUGCUGAGUGUUUCUUCAGUGUAUUUAUUGGCUAUCUGAUCUUCUUCUGAGAAGUGUUUAUUUCAGUUUCCCAUUUUUUGACUGAGUCUUUUAUUUUUUUGAGGGGGUCAGUUUAAAAUUAUAAACAUUUACUCCUAAAUGCCUUUAAUAUACUAGGUUCUUAAACACAGAAACUUUUCAUAGGAAUAAUGCUCUGAACGCUAAAACAGCUCAAAUAUAUAAAACCUAGGAAGUUGCUCCUAAAUAAACUGACUAAAAUUCUGACAGGAAGUUCUAGCAAUCAGUGAAAUUCAUCGUGUCAUUUCUGGCACAGCAGUUUUCAGCUGUCUACUUAACGUGGGAUGCACUGAUUCAUCAUGUAAGUAUUUACUCAUCUUGCUGGAACUGCUCUAACCGAGACACACAGAAAUUCACAUUGGUCUUUCUUCCCAAUUUGACUCCCAUCAACAACAGUGUUUUCCCCCAAUUUCACUCCCUUAAACAGUAACAUACAUUGAUUAUCAGAGCAGCCGUCUGCUUUUUUUUUUUGUCUUUUUGAGACAGGGUCUCGCUAUGCAGUUCAGGCUGGCCUUGAGCUUACUUUGUAGCCCAGGCUGGUCUUGAACUCACAACGAUCCUCCUGCCUCAGCCUCCUUCCCAAAUGCAAUUACAGGUGUCCGCCACCACGCCCGGCACAGAGCAGCUAUUUGUAUUAAAUUUUGCAGUAGUAUUUAUGAAUUUAUAUCUUAGAUUGUAAGCUUAUAGGCCUUUUUUUUUGAGUCAAAGAUUUGAGAGUCUCAUAAUAGGUAUAGAUGUGAUUUUCACUAGGAAAAUGCUCACAAAAUGUGCUUUUAGUCAUUUUAGUCAUGCACGUUGUAGCAUUUCCAUCAUAUGCUAUGGUAGUCCCAUAAGAAUACACUGUCUCCUGACUCCAUAGCUGCCUUAGUUUAUGUAAGUGCAAUGAUAAAACUGCCUAAACUAUCAAGAGACAUGCCUAUAAAUAAAGCACAUCCACUGAUUCAACAUUUUUGUUAUACACAGUAUGCACUAUGCUUCUGAACUACUGUGUACUGUGACGUUAACUGAUCAAAUAAAAAGAAAAACAGAAGUUAAGUGUCUAAGAGCUCAAGACUUUGGGACACAGAUCUGGUUCUAGGUUCUAUUAUUUAUAACAUAACCAGUGUCAGAGGUGUUUAAACGUUAAGUGAGAUAAUUAUGUAUAAAUAAUUUAUUCUUGUCCCGAAAAAGGUCUGCUGGCUUUCUUCCACUCUUGAGAAGUAACUGCUAAGCCUUCGAAAUGUCAUGCUUGAUAGGUGUGUGUGUCUGAGAACUGCAGGUCACUGGAUAAUCUAAUAAUAUAAUGUAGGGCAGGGCUGCAACACUGGACAGUCCUAGUAUACGGGCUGGUCAAGCCAGAAGGACCAAAACUGUGACUCAACAGGAGCUUUGGGUGGUGUAGUGUCAGCUGAUCUGCGGAGGGGAUGGAUACGAGCUCAGCCACGUGGGCCAUCAAUCACACUUUCAGUAUGGAGUCCCUGUAAAAUCUGUGGAAUAUGAGCUCACAGCAGUGUGCCUUUCUUACAUAAGGAAGGCAUAAUAGAUGCUCUCUGCUUGGUCCUUUUUCUGUGUGCUGCCCUAUAUUCUUCUUUCCUUGGCUGAUUUCUUUGUCUGUUUUGGCAGUGCUAGAGACUGAACCCAGGGCCUUGAGCACACUCAGGUGCUGCCUGAACCCCCUUGGCUGAAUUUAAUCUGUAUCCUUUCCCUGUAAGAAACUGUAACUAUAACUGCUUUCAGCAAAUUCUGUGAGUCCUUCUAGGGAAUCUGUGAAUCUGAGGGUGCUUUUGGGUACCUCCCAAAGUUGUACUUUGUAUCAGAAGUAGGGUAGUCUUGUUUGGACUGUUCUAUUUCAGAGUUGGCUAAAAUCUAGUAAUUCUCAUAAAGAACUAGCAAACCCAGGCAUGGUAGCACACACCUAAAAACCUAAGCUACUCUAGAGGCUGAAGCAGGAGAACUGCAAGUUUGAAGGUUAGUCUGUGAUGGAGACCACAAUGAAGCAGCCCUGAGCAGGACUUAAAUUAACCAGUGGGUUUUUCAUAUUUACUUGUGAGUCUGUCCAAAGCCUAGGACACUUGUCUGGAAGUGGACGAUGGAGUCAUAGUAAGUGAACCUCUGUGAGUCACUAAUCCCUACUAAAACCUGUAAUGG